RNAcentral lists this ribosomal RNA (500 nucleotides) under uncultured bacterium. RNAcentral describes it as "bacterial SSU rRNA". It matches the Rfam family "Bacterial small subunit ribosomal RNA", at positions 143 to 638 of the family's 1533-position model. The record is from RNAcentral.
AUAACUACUCGAAAGAGUGGCUAAUACCGCAUACGCCCUACGGGGGAAAGGGGGGGAUCGCAAGACCUCUCACUAUUGGAGCGGCCGAUAUCGGAUUAGCUAGUUGGUGGGGUAAAGGCUCACCAAGGCAACGAUCCGUAGCUGGUUUGAGAGGACGACCAGCCACACUGGGACUGAGACACGGCCCAGACUCCUACGGGAGGCAGCAGUGGGGAAUUUUGGACAAUGGGGGAAACCCUGAUCCAGCCAUCCCGCGUGUAUGAUGAAGGCCUUCGGGUUGUAAAGUACUUUUGGCAGAGAAGAAAAGGUAUCUCCUAAUACGAGAUACUGCUGACGGUAUCUGCAGAAUAAGCACCGGCUAACUACGUGCCAGCAGCCGCGGUAAUACGUAGGGUGCAAGCGUUAAUCGGAAUUACUGGGCGUAAAGCGUGUGUAGGCGGUUCGGAAAGAAAGAUGUGAAAUCCCAGGGCUCAACCUUGGAACUGCAUUUUUAACUGCCG